RNAcentral lists this ribosomal RNA (746 nucleotides) under uncultured Parvimonas sp. RNAcentral describes it as "bacterial SSU rRNA". It matches the Rfam family "Bacterial small subunit ribosomal RNA", at positions 28 to 776 of the family's 1533-position model. Lineage: Bacteria; Bacillati; Bacillota; Tissierellia; Tissierellales; Peptoniphilaceae. The record is from RNAcentral.
GACGAACGCUGGCGGCGUGCUUAACACAUGCAAGUCGAACGUGAUUUUUGUGGAAAUUCUUUCGGGAAUGGAAAUGAAAUGAAAGUGGCGAACGGGUGAGUAACACGUGAGCAACCUACCUUACACAGGGGGAUAGCCGUUGGAAACGACGAUUAAUACCGCAUGAGACCACAGAAUCGCAUGAUAUAGGGGUCAAAGAUUUAUCGGUGUAAGAGGGGCUCGCGUCUGAUUAGCUAGUUGGAAGGGUAAAGGCCUACCAAGGCGACGAUCAGUAGCCGGUCUGAGAGGAUGAACGGUCACAUUGGAACUGAGACACGGUCCAAACUCCUACGGGAGGCAGCAGUGGGGAAUAUUGCACAAUGGGGGGAACCCUGAUGCAGCGACGCCGCGUGAGCGAAGAAGGUUUUCGAAUCGUAAAGCUCUGUCCUAUGAGAAGAUAAUGACGGUAUCAUAGGAGGAAGCCCCGGCUAAAUACGUGCCAGCAGCCGCGGUAAUACGUAUGGGGCGAGCGUUGUCCGGAAUUAUUGGGCGUAAAGGGUACGUAGGCGGUUUUUUAAGUCAGGUGUGAAAGCGUGAGGCUUAACCUCAUUAAGCACUUGAAACUGGAAGACUUGAGUGAAGGAGAGGAAAGUGGAAUUCCUAGUGUAGCGGUGAAAUGCGUAGAUAUUAGGAGGAAUACCGGUGGCGAAGGCGACUUUCUGGACUUUUACUGACGCUCAGGUACGAAAGCGUGGGGAGCAAACAGG